UUGACCUCAAAUCGGGUGAGACUACCCGCUGACUUAG
RNAcentral lists this ribosomal RNA (37 nucleotides) under Lactarius glyciosmus. RNAcentral's name for it is "partial 25S ribosomal RNA". The record is from RNAcentral. Lineage: Eukaryota; Fungi; Basidiomycota; Agaricomycetes; Russulales; Russulaceae.